GUAAACCCGUUGAAAAGCGGCGACACAAAGCCAGAUGGGUCUAAGGUUUGAUAAGAGAAGUAGAUCAGACUAUGACAGCCGGUUGCAG
Molecule: non-coding RNA, 88 nt
Filed under: pig gut metagenome
Description: Cyclic di-GMP-I riboswitch
Rfam family: c-di-GMP-I riboswitch aptamer
About the family: GEMM was predicted in a large-scale screen for bacterial structured RNA regulatory elements. Genes associated with GEMM are involved in a diverse array of functions, including chemotaxis regulation, signal transduction, secretion and chitin.
Source: RNAcentral